GGUGAAAAGCACCCCGGAAGGGGAGUGAAAUAGAACCUGAAACCGUGUGCUUACAAGUAGUCAGAGCCCGUUAAUGGGUGAUGGCGUGCCUUUUGUAGAAUGAACCGGCGAGUUACGAUUUGAUGCAAGGUUAAGCAGUAAAUGUGGAGCCGUAGCGAAAGCGAGUCUGAAUAGGGCGUUUAGUAUUUGGUCGUAGACCCGAAACCAGGUGAUCUACCCUUGGUCAGGUUGAAGUUCAGGUAACACUGAAUGGAGGACCGAACCGACUUACGUUGAAAAGUGAGCGGAUGAACUGAGGGUAGCGGAGAAAUUCCAAUCGAACCUGGAGAUAGCUGGUUCUCUCCGAAAUAGCUUUAGGGCUAGCCUCAAGUGAUGAUUAUUGGAGGUAGAGCACUGUUUGGACGAGGGGCCCCUCUCGGGUUACCGAAUUCAGACAAACUCCGAAUGCCAAUUAAUUUAACUUGGGAGUCAGAACAUGGGUGAUAAGGUCCGUGUUCGAAAGGGAAACAGCCCAGACCACCAGCUAAGGUCCCAAAAUAUAUGUUAAGUGGAAAAGGAUGUGGCGUUGCCCAGACAACUAGGAUGUUGGCUUAGAAGCAGCCAUCAUUUAAAGAGUGCGUAAUAGCUCACUAGUCGAGUGACACUGCGCCGAAAAUGUACCGGGGCUAAACAUAUUACCGAAGCUGUGGAUUGUCCUUUGGACAAUGGUAGGAGAGCGUUCUAAGGGCGUUGAAGCAUGAUCGUAAGGACAUGUGGAGCGCUUAGAAGUGAGAAUGCCGGUGUGAGUAGCGAAAGACGGGUGAGAAUCCCGUCCACCGAUUGACUAAGGUUUCCAGAGGAAGGCUCGUCCGCUCUGGGUUAGUCGGGUCCUAAGCUGAGGCCGACAGGCGUAGGCGAUGGAUAACAGGUUGAUAUUCCUGUACCACCUAUAAUCGUUUUAAUCGAUGGGGGGACGCAGUAGGAUAGGCGAAGCGUGCGAUUGGAUUGCACGUCUAAGCAGUAAGGCUGAGUAUUAGGCAAAUCCGGUACUCAUUAAGGCUGAGCUGUGAUGGGGAGAAGACAUUGUGUCUUCGAGUCGUUGAUUUCACACUGCCGAGAAAAGCCUCUAGAUAGAAAAUAGGUGCCCGUACCGCAAACCGACACAGGUAGUCAAGAUGAGAAUUCUAAGGUGAGCGAGCGAACUCUCGUUAAGGAACUCGGCAAAAUGACCCCGUAACUUCGGGAGAAGGGGUGCUCUUUAGGGUUAACGCCCAGAAGAGCCGCAGUGAAUAGGCCCAAGCGACUGUUUAUCAAAAACACAGGUCUCUGCUAAACCGUAAGGUGAUGUAUAGGGGCUGACGCCUGCCCGGUGCUGGAAGGUUAAGAGGAGUGGUUAGCUUCUGCGAAGCUACGAAUCGAAGCCCCAGUAAACGGCGGCCGUAACUAUAACGGUCCUAAGGUAGCGAAAUUCCUUGUCGGGUAAGUUCCGACCCGCACGAAAGGCGUAACGAUUUGGGCACUGUCUCAACGAGAGACUCGGUGAAAUCAUAGUACCUGUGAAGAUGCAGGUUACCCGCGACAGGACGGAAAGACCCCGUGGAGCUUUACUGUAGCCUGAUAUUGAAAUUCGGCACAGCUUGUACAGGAUAGGUAGGAGCCUUUGAAACGUGAGCGCUAGCUUACGUGGAGGCGCUGGUGGGAUACUACCCUAGCUGUGUUGGCUUUCUAACCCGC
RNAcentral lists this ribosomal RNA (1713 nucleotides) under Staphylococcus aureus. Its description in RNAcentral is "partial 23S ribosomal RNA". It matches the Rfam family "Bacterial large subunit ribosomal RNA", at positions 513 to 2230 of the family's 2925-position model. Lineage: Bacteria; Bacillati; Bacillota; Bacilli; Caryophanales; Staphylococcaceae. The record is from RNAcentral.